ACCAGCUCUUCAAGUGGUCGGGAUAAUUAUUGGGCUUAAAGUGUCCGUAGCCGGUUUAGCAAGUUUCCUGUUAAAUUCAGCGACCUAAUCGUUGAGCCGCGGGAAAUACUACUAGGCUAGGAGGCGGGAGAGGUCGACGGUACUUCUGGGGUAGGGGUGAAAUCCUAUAAUCCCGGGAGGACCACCAGUGGCGAAGGCUGUCGACUAGAACGCGCUCGACGGUGAGGGACGAAAGCUGGGGGAGCGAACCGGAUUAGAUACCCGGGUAGUCCCAGCUGUAAACGAUGCGGGCUAGGUGUUGGGGUGGCUACGUGCCACUUCAGUGCCGCAGGGAAGCCAUUAAGCCCGCCGCCUGGGGAGUACGGCCGCAAGGCUGAAACUUAAAGGAAUUGGCGGGGAGCAUCACAAGGCGUGAAGCUUGCGGUUC
Molecule: ribosomal RNA, 427 nt
Filed under: uncultured archaeon
Lineage: Archaea
Description: bacterial SSU rRNA
Rfam family: Archaeal small subunit ribosomal RNA
Source: RNAcentral